Molecule: long non-coding RNA, 10147 nt
Organism: Pan troglodytes (chimpanzee)
Lineage: Eukaryota; Metazoa; Chordata; Mammalia; Primates; Hominidae
Exons: 5
Source: RefSeq, a predicted model, not a curated record
ACCUCGCCACCCGCUCCGGGACGCCGCCCAGCGACACGGCCGCGGGGUCAGCGUGUCUGUACCGGUGCUGCAACGGGAGGGUCGGGCGGCGACGCUCUCACUGCCGGGCCAGAAGGAGGCCGCCCGGCUCCCUCACGCUAGAAGGGAGCUGGUUACCAGAGGUUUUCAGAGACGCCAAAGUUUUGCCAGAAUUUGUUGCAAGUACAUGAAAGAUUUUGUGGCUGAAGUAAUGUAAAACCAUUGAUCAAACCGGAAAUUGAGACACAGCCAGCGUCACACAACAGGCCAUCUGAAAGGCUGGAAUAGCAUCGAGGGAGUCUCCCUGGAACCAAGCAGCCAAGGCAGGCUAAUGGUGAAGGCCCAGGCACAGUAAUGGUCCCCUGGAGGUCACAUGCCCACAAAGUCAGCCCUGUCGUCAGGCCUUGGUUUCCUUGUCUGUCAAGUGGGAGAAUGGUAGCCACUGGCCAAAAGGGUGAGGGUGAGAAUGAGGUGGGAGCUGGUGGUAAGAGGUCCAGUGAACAGCAUGAGGAUGAGUCAUGAGUUGCUUAAAGACUGGGAUGCUUUCUAAGAAACGUGUCAUUUUGCUAUUUCAUCAUUGUGUGAACGUGAACACAAACCCAGAUGGUAUAGCCUACUACACACCUAGGCUAUAUGGUAUAGCCUAUUGCUCCUAGGCCACAAACUUGUACCUGUACUGAAUACUAGAGGCAAUUGUAAUACAAUGGGUCUCAUUUUGUCCCCCAGGCUGGAGUGCAGUGGCAUUUUCUCAGCUCACUGCAACCUUGACCUCCCAGGCUCAAGCAAUCCUCUCUCCUCAGCCUCAUAAGUACCUGGGACUACAGGCGUGCACCACCACACCUAGCUAAUUUUGUUUUGUUUUUUGUAGAGACAAGGUCUCACUAUGUUGCCCAAGCUGGUCUCAAACUCCUGUACUCACGUGAUCCUCCUACCUCAGCCUCCCAAAGUGCUGGGAUUACAGAUGUGAGCCAUGGCACCUGGCCAAUCUCUUCUUUUAUGGCUUCUGGAGUUUGAGUCAUAAUUAGAAAGGUUUUUCUACUCCAACAUUUCUUCCCCAUAUAUUCUUUUAAUACUUGUUUUUCUCUUUUUUCACAUGUUUAUCUUUAAUACAUGUAUUUGGAUAUUCUGUAUUAUUUUAAGUAUUUCUUGUAAGCAGCAUAUUAUGUAGUUGAAUUUUGUUUUUAAACAUGAGAAUAUAAAACUAUUUGCCUUCAACAACUUAGCUUAAUUUGUUUAUAUAUAUUUCAUAAUAAUGUGGCCUCAUUUUACUUCAUUUUUGUGCUUCCUUAUUGCUUUACUUUUUGUUCUUUGCUAUACUUUUUAGGUUUUUCUUGCUUUUAGCUUCUAUAAUGAUUUUGAAGGUGAAGAUCAAGUUUGUAAUUCUUUAAACCUUUUUUUCUUUUGAGACAGGAUCUCGUUCUGUCACCCAGGCUGGAGUGCAAUGGUGGGAUCUCAGCUCACUACAGCCUCCACCUCCCAGGUUCAAGUAAUUCUCAUGCCUCAGCCACCCGAGUAGCUGGGAUUACCGGCACACGCUGCCACACACAGCUGAUUUUUGUAUUUUUAGUAGAGAUGGGAUUUCACCAUGUUAGCCAGGCUGGUCUCGAACUCCUGGCCUCAACUUAUCCACCUGCCUCAGCCUCCCAAGGUCCUGGGACUACAGGCGUGAGCCACUGCACCUGGCCUUUUUAAAUCUUUAGAUUAGUCAACCACAUAUACUUAAAUGUAUAUUUAUCAAAUUACCAAAGUCAGUAGAAGGUGCUGUUUUUUACACUGUACUGGCUGUGUUUAAUGGAUCUCUACUUUUGUCUGCAUUGUACAGAUGAGGAAACUAAAGCUCAGUAUGUUUAAGUAGUUUGCCCAAGGUCGCCCAAUAAUUUUUUUUUUUGAGGCGGAGUCUUGCUCUGUUGCCCAGGCUGGAGUGCAGUGGCGCAAUCUCGGGUCACUGCAACCUCCACCUCCUGGGUUCAAGUGAUUGUCCUGCCUCAGCCCACCGAGCAGCUGGGAUUACAGGCACACACCACCACGCCCGGCUAGUUUUUGUAUUUUUAGUAGAGACGGCGUUUCUCCAUAUUGGCCAGGCUAGUCUCGAACUUCUGACCUCAGGUGAUCUGUCCACCUCAGCUUCCCAAAGUGCUGGGAUUACAGGCAUGAGCCACCGUGCCCAGCCUAAUAAUUUUUAAUGAUCUCUGGAUGAUGAGAAAUUAGCAAGCUUAAGCCAGGCAGGGCAACCCCAGAGCUGGAGUGGAGGAAAUCUCGGCUAAACAACAGGGCUGAAAAUGAAGGAGGGGCGAAUUCCUCAAAGUAAAAUCCCUAUGGCCUCAUAACCUUUCAUUUGGAACUCUUGGAUUUUUGCCAGUCUGAUAGGUGAGAAAUCAUAGCUCACUGUAGUUGUGGUUUGCAUUUCUCUUAUGAGUGAGACCAACCAUCUUUUCAUAUAUUUGGAAGCCAUUUGCAUCUUCAUUUAGAUGAACUGCCUAUUCAUAUCUUUUGCCCACUUGGGAGGUACUCAGCAAAUAACCACUAAAUCAAAGCUUCCUGGAUUGUUUGUUUGUUUUGAGAAUACCAAACAGAUGACUUUUAGAGUUUUAUUCUUUCUUACAGAAAAUCAUUUCUGAGAUAAUAAACUCUUCAUCUGAACCUUCAGGACAAUUUUCUUCCUGCCGGUGCUGUGAGAUCUUCUCACAGAUUCCAUAUUGAUUGUUUUUGUUCACUCUCUCUUGAUCAGGUGGAAAUAAAGCCAGGCUAAGGACUGCCCCCUGAUCGUUUCAACCUUAUGCAGUAAAGCUUAAUAAUUGUGGAAGUCUCAUUUCCACCAUUGGACAGCCAGUGUAGACACAGAAAACGAAGCUGACCGGGGUCGAUUAGGGGAAUUUUCAUCAUCAUAUCAUGGCACUUGAACAGCACUCUGUGUAUGUAAAUUCAUUUAUUAUGUGUGUGCAUUUGUGUAUAUAUAUACACUAAAUGCAUAUGUGCUAAAUUUAUGCACACACAUUAAUUUAGUUCUCACAACAUUUCUGUAAACAGUACUGUAAACAGUACAAUAUUCCUGUAAAUAGUACUUUUACUGUUUCCAUUUUACAGAUGACCAAGGUGAGGCACAGAGAGGUUAUAUAACUUGUCCAAGCUCACACAGCUAAAAUCUGGUGGAACCAUAACUACCUACAUGAUCUGAUCCCAGAAUCCAUUCCCUCAAUCAUUCUGACCGGCUUGGAAGAUAAUUCCUGUGUUGUUAAGCUAUGACCAAACAUCCAUCUGGUCACUGCUGCCCCUGAGUCUCUGGGACUGGUGUAGGCAGUGGGGAUUAGUCUCUCUUAUCUACUUUGGAACCUUCGGUUCUUCAUUCAUUAAUUCAUUUAAUCCUCUGAUUCAUUCAAUAAAUAUGUAUUGAGUGCCUACUAUGUGUCAAGUCCUGUGCUGGGUGCCAGAGAUACCAAGAUAAAUUAGAUAUGGCCUUUGUCCUUAAAGGCCUUGAAGGGUGGGGGAUAAGACAUGGUCAGUUAACGGCACAGAUGACACAUGCUGUUCUGUUCCAAAGGGAGUAGCAGGUGGUGUGUUGUCUAAGAAUGUGUUUCUCAAUCUGGCCCCAUCUACCAUCUGGUUAGCGCAAUUUCUCCCUUGCACUUUACCCUGUGAUCUUCUCUUAUCUUUAGUUUCUAAAGCAUCACUGCAAGCUUUUGGAUUUCUGCAUAUCUUCUUGAGCAUUUUCACAGGGUAUGGAGAUUAGUCUCAUCAGUCAUAUCUGCUGUCCUUUUUUUAUCAUCCCAGGAAAGUGGCCUUGUUCCUGUAAGUAAUGGGAAGCCAGGGAAGGAUUCAGAGUAGGAUAGAUGGGCACUUUAGAAUGACCACUCCAGCCGUAAUGUGGAAAAUAGACUGAAUGGUGGAGGUAAGAUAAGCAGCCCAGUCUGAAAACCGCUCCAGUACCCAGGUGGAAUUAUCUGAGCAAAGACUGCGGCUGGGGGAGACAGGAGGGUAUGGAUUCAAUGAAUAUCAAGCAAAUGGAAUCAAAGGGACUAAGUAAUUCAAUCAACAGUGUUUAAUUAGCACCUGUUAAGUGCCAGGCACUGUGCCAGGUGCCCAGAAUACAGCAGGGAACAAGAUAGACACAGCCUCUGCCUUCAUUGCAUCUAGAUGGGGAAAUGGACAAUUGGAGCCUUUAGAAUAAAAGAUGAUAAACGAUGCAACAGAGGACAUCAGGGCACUGCAGGAAAACAGAAGGGGGCACACGAGGGGGCGUGAGGGAAGAGUCCGGGCUGAUGCCUGGAUUUCUGCCUUGGCUGCAGGAGUAUAUGAUGGGGCCAUCGUCUGAGCCAGAGAAUCCAGGAGGGCAGAACCCUAUGGACGUCUCUCUGGGUCCCCCCAAGCCCAGGCCAGGGCAGGAGCAGGGGAGGUGGUGAGCAGAGACUGUUGAAUGAAUGAAUAAAUGAAUGUGGGCAUGUGAAUACUCCCCAGCCCUCAGCCCGGCCCUGAAAGAGGAAGAUGGGGAGUGGUCCUGAAAGAAACUAGAAGUUUCAGGAAGCCCAGUGGUUACUCAACACCCACAAACCGUCAGCCUCUUCCCAGUUACCCAACGGGCCAUAUGAGGCAGCCGUGACGCUCCUGAUGUCCAGCAGGACGAGCCGGGCUGCCCAUGACUCUGUAUCUGGGGCCUGGAUAGCAGACAGACUCAGCAUACCCCUGGCUGUUCUGAGGCCACCAGUGUGGGCCCCAAAGGCUAUUGGAGACCUUCCUGGAACUGGCAGGGAAGGAAGAAUUAGACCUCCAAAUUCCCUGGGCAUGUGUUCCUAGAGUUGGGACCCUUCCUCUGGCUCCUGCAUUCUUGAAGUGUCCCCCUGCCUCAGCACCAAGCCUCCUGGGCUGGGCCUGGGUCUGUUUGCCUCUAUCCAAAAGCAGAAAUUGAUAAUUAUCUUCUGUGUGCCCAGUGCCCAGCUUGGACAACCCCUUCCCCCCAGCACAUGAUAUAAAAUUUCUCUUCUUUCUCAUUUUACUUUUUUUGUUUGUUUGUUUUGAGACAGGAUCUCUCUCUGUCAUCCAAGCUGGAGUACAGUGGUGUGAUAAUGCCUCACUGAAGCCUCAACCUCCUGGCCUCAAGUGAUCCUCCCACCCCAGCCUCCCAUGUAGCUGGGACUACAGGUGUGCCCCACCAUGCCCAGCUAAUUUUUCUAUUUAUUUUUUUGUAGAGAUGGGUUUUUGCCAUCUUGCCAGGCUAGUCUCAGAUUCCUGGGUUCAAGCAAUCUGCCCCCCCUCAGCAUCCCUAAGUGCUGAAAUUACAGGCAUGAGCCUCUGUGCCCUGCCAGGAAAUGUUUCUUUAGUUCAGAGAGAGGUGUACCCUAAGCCCAGGGGCCAGGCUCCCCCACCCUCAGGAGAAGGAAGGUUCAUCGGGAGCCACAUAAACACCAUGUUGUUGGCAUGUGGCCAGGAUACCCAUGGUUACACCAUGAGUGGGUGGGCCUAGGCUCUGACAGCCUCUGACCCAGGGUGGGGAAGGCACCAACCCACUGCCCCACCUCUACCCCUGUCCGCUGUCCAUAUCUGAGUGUCCUGAAAUGGGAGAAUCUUUGAAUCUAAAGGAUAGAAAGGCCCUCUGUGGUCUUGUUGUCCACCUGCCCUUUUUUUUUGUCUUUCUGGCCCAUCCAUUCUCCUUAAUAAUCAUUUACCAUCCCUCGAAAAAUUGUCUGCAUUCCUAUCUUCUCCCUCCCCUAUGAAAAAGGACAUAUGAGCUUCUGUACCCCAUCUGGGGCUUGGAAUCGCCACUCGAUAGUUCUCCCUCAUGCACAUUAAUGAAUGUGUCUGCCUUUUCUCCUAUUCAUCUGCCUUUGGUCAGUUGAUGUUUCAGCAAAUAUUUAGAGGGCAAAGGGGAAGUUUUCCCUUGGCCUCUAAAGUCUCUGGCCAGGUGUUUGCCAUCAGCAUGGGAUUACAUGGAACUGGCAGGGAAAGACUUCUGUGGCUUCUUUGGCUCCUGUCGCUGCUAGUAGGUUGCAAAAGGGCCUAAUGGCCUCUGGUAUAAAUGCAGGUGCAUUUGUGUGUGUGUGUGUGUGUGUGUGUGUAUGUUUAACUUGUGUUUAUUUUAUCCAUAGAUGUUUAUAUUAGUAUAUAUUACGCUAUAUAGUUAUAUAUAUACAUAUAUAAUAGCAAAAUGUAUAAGUAUACAUAAAUGGAUAUUUUGUGUGUGUGUGUGUGUGUGUGUAUACAUAUAUACAUUUCUUUAUUUAUGUUUUAUUAUUAUUUUUCUUGAGAUGGGAGUCUUGCUCUGUCACCCAGACUGGAGUGCAGUGGCACGAUCUCAGCUCACUGCAACCUCCACCUCCCAGGUUCAAGUGAUUUUCCUGCCUCAGCCUCCUGAGUAGCUGGGAUUAUAGGCACGCACCACCACGCCUGGCUAAUUUUUGUAUUUUUAGUAGAGACGGGUUUCACCAUGUUGGUCAGGCUGGUCUCGAACUCCUGACCUCAUGAUUCGCCCUCCUUGGCCUCCCAAAGUGCUGGGAUUACAGGCGUGAGUCACUGCGCCUAGUCACAUAUGUACAUUUCUUUUUCUUCUCACAUAUAUGGGGAAAUGCCACCAGAUUGGCAGACGGUGCUACAAAUUUAUAUGUAUAAAUAUCUAGAUUUUAAUUUUUAUUUACUUAUCUAUUGAUGCAUAUAAUUAUAUAUAUAACAUAUUUCUUAUAUACUUAAAAAUAGAAAUCUUUUAUUUGUGAGUGUAUAUAUAUUUCUAGUUUUGCCUUUCCUUGUGUCUGUACCCAUAAAACACUCAAGGGACAGGCAGCGCCACACCGUUUCUUGAGAGCAGGUUCUGAAACCCUGAGUCUCCACUGACCCUUGUUCCUCUGGUCUCGUGUGAGGACACAGUUGUACAUUGGACUCUAGAUGUCAGAGCCAUUUGUUCCCAUGGUGUCUCCAUGAGGUUGAGCCCCCACUCUAGGAGAAAACAGCUGUUUCGGGGCGAAUGGGGGCAGCAAAACCCAGAUGGACCUGGUAGUCUCAGGCGGUCUCACAUUCAAGUCCUAUCUGAUUGCAACUUCUCUGAGCUUCUAAGAAGAGAAGGGGCUCUUCUUGGCUUGUGCAGCCAUACACUUGUCAGCCUAGGCUGUGAUCUAAAGGCUGGCUCAAAAAAUCACUUUGCUCCUCCCUUCUGAAGAAUCCAAACUGACCUGUUCAGGCCCUGAUUAUAAUGCCCUCAGCAAUGGGAACUCACCUUAACCUGGGACCUGAGACCAGCCUUCUUCCCGAGACCUGAGACCUGAGACCAGUCACUUCCCCAAGGGUCUCCUCCCUAUCUCCAAGGCCACAGAGCCUUAUCUUCCCCCCACAGCCCAGAACAGUCCAGGAGAGCCAGGGGAAGGGGUGGGGAUGAGGCCUCUGCCAUCCCUGAGAGAUGAACAAGUGAGCAGUAGCUCCUUUCUCCAUGGCCACAGUUAAAGUGUCAUCACAUGCAAUCACUAAACCAUCAGUGGGGCCACUGAAAGGCAAGAGACACUGAAAGGCAAGAGACAGGCCAUUCUGCCAAGCGGGAAGCUGAAGACUGUUUCAAGGCAGUAUGCCAUGGUGGUUAAGAGCGCCUCUGCUAGAUACUAGCUGCGUGACCCUUAAUCCUUCUGAAGUGGAUUUUCUUGCUGGUAAAAUGGGAUAAAGACGCCUGCCUGGUAGGUUAGUGUGUGGAUUAAAUGACUGUGUGUAAAGAAAGGGUCAGCCCAAUGCAUACUAGGGAGGUGUUCAGGGAAUCCAUGCUUUCCCAUGGCAGUGUCGGAGGCUGUUGCCACACAGCCACACACACCACAUGGGCUCCCCAGGUCCCCUUCUAGGCAGCCCAUGUUCCCUGCCCGGGCUGGGUUCAUCCAGGCUGAUGGCCAAAUGCAGCCUCCGCCAGGAGGGGAGAGGCCCACUCCACCCUGGGGAUUGCCCGAUCACAUUGGCUGUGCCCAUCUUGUGGGCUCCCCACCCUUCAGGUCUUUUCCACCUGAGAGUGGGCUAGGGCUCUCCUUCCUGCCCUAGAAUCACUUAUUUGUCUGACUCUUCAAGCAAGACGUCAUGCGUUUACCGAAAUUUCUCAACCACCUCCUGGGAACAAGGCCCUGGCAGGGAGAUCCAGGGGCCCAGAAGAAACACAGAGUAGGGAAGGGGGUGGGGCACACAGUUCAAUUAGUUCUCAAGUACUAAACAAAGGAUUUUGUUUUUUCUGACGCUAGAAGUAACACCUCUUCAUUGCAGAGUAUUUGAAAAAUACAGAAAAAUAUAAAACAGAAAAUAAAAAAUCCUGACAGUCCUGAUUCACACAGGUAACUGACAUUAAGAUUUUGUUGUGUUUGAUACUAAGGUUUUCUAGGCAUUUUAACCUGGUCAUAAUGUAUAAUACAAUUGUGUAUCCUGCCUUUUUUUCAUUCACCAUAAAGGCACAAAACCUUUUCCUGGGUUUUUACAAGCCAGCCAGUUAAAUUAUACCCUGUUGAUUUAAGCUAAUCUUUCUGACAAAAAUCCUUAAUUUUCAUUGGGAUUUAGCUGUUUCUUCCUAGGAUAGCACAGUGCUGGGUGCCAGCCUGGAGGAAAAGGAGGAGGGAGGAGAAAAGAGGAGAUAAAACCAACACCAAGGAGAUUCAUGCUUUCUGCCCCUUUCUUCCCCUCAUGCUAAAUAUGUUUCUCAGUAUGGGAAUGCCAGGGCAGCCACCUGACUCCCAGGAUCACCUGGACUCACCUGAGGUUCUGAAUCUUUCCCCUGCUCGCUUUGCACACCCAACCCUAAAGUGAAGAGAUCUCACUCCCUGCUAGGAAAAAUGCCUUCCUCUGUGGGGGAUAGCCCUGCAGACCCUAGGCAGCAAAGAUUCUGCUCCAGCCACCCUGCUCCCACUCAGUCCUCUGCCUACUUGUCACAUGGCCUGGUUUUCAGGCCUCUAUAGCCUGGUCACCCUCUCUUGACUCAGCACAUACCCCAAAGUGUCAGAAAGGUCCUAGAGCUCCAGCUGGGCCUGGCUGAGUGUGGAGCAGGGUAGGGCAGUCCCUUCUCUGUUCUGGAUGCUAUGCCUCUGUUAAUGCAGCCUGCAUUUGCAUUUGUUUGUUUGGCAGCCUCUGCCUUAGCUCGUGUAGGGCUUGUGGUCAGCUCAAACUCUGAGCUCCUUUUUGUAUCAUUGUUGGUAAACCAGUUCUCCCAUAGCCUGUGUUUGGGCAAUCUUUUGAAGAAAUCACACGCAAGCCUUGAUAUAUUUCCCAUUUUAAAUAUUUGCGUUGAUUUUUAGCACCCUUCCUGACUUUUUGUCAUGGGUGAACCUGAUACAUGUGCGCCAUGUCUUUAUCCAACCUGUUGAUGAAAUAAUUACCUCAACCUGGCCCAAGACAGAAACUCCCUUCUCACAGGCCCUGGCCCAUAACCAGAGCCAUAAGUUUGAUCAGCUUCCUAAAAGCCUGUGAGGAAAUACCACCUUCUUUAAAAAUCAAAUCAUGCAUUAAUAUUCACCCAAAAUAAUUGAAAUCAGAUACCUAUACAUGAAUUGUUCAUAGUAGCACUAUUCACAAUAGCCAAAAGGUAGAAAUAACCUAAAUGUCCAUCAACAGAUAAAUGGAUAAACAGAAUGUGGCAUUCAUACAAUGAAAUAUUACUCAACCGUAAGAGCAGUAAAGUUCUGAUACUGCUACAAAAUGGACAAACCUCAAAAAAAUAUUGUGCUAAGUGAAAGAAGCCAGAUACAAAAGUCACAUAUUAUAUGAUUCCAUCUAUGUGAAAUAUUCAGAAUAAAUAAAUCCACAGAGGCAAAAAGCAGAUUGGCGGUCGCCAGGGGCUGAGGGGUAGGGGAAACAGAGUGACUGCUUAAGCAGGUUUUCUUUUGGGGUGAUGAAAAUGUUUUAGAUGGGCAUAGUGGCUCACAGCUGUAAUCCCAGCACUUUGUGAGGCUGAGGCUGGUAGAUUGCUUGAGCCCAGGAGUUCAAGACCAGCCUGGGCAACAUGGUGAAAAAUAAUACAAAAAAAUACAAAAACUAGCUGGGCAUGGUGGCACAUGCCUGUAGUCCCAGCUAGUCAGGAGGCUGAGGUGGGAGGAUCACCUGAACCUGGGAGGUGGAGGUUGCAGUGAGCUGAGACCACACCACUGCACUCCAGCUUGGGUAACAGAGACAGACCCUGUCUCAGAAAAAAAAAAAAAAA